Molecule: unclassified non-coding RNA, 346 nt
Filed under: soil metagenome
Description: partial contains 5.8S ribosomal RNA, internal transcribed spacer 2, and large subunit ribosomal RNA
Rfam family: 5.8S ribosomal RNA (bases 1-121)
Source: RNAcentral
GAUGAAGAACGUAGUGAAAUGCGAUACGUAAUGUGAAUUGCAGAAUUCAGUGAAUCAUCGAGUCUUUGAACGCACAUUGCGCCCCCUGGUAUUCCGGGGGGGCAUGCCUGUCCGAGCGUCAUUGCUGCCCUCAAGCACGGCUUGUGUGUUGGGCCUCCGUCCUCCUCCCGGGGGACGGGCCCGAAAGGCAGCGGCGGCACCGCGUCCGGUCCUCGAGCGUAUGGGGCUUCGUCACCCGCUCUUGUAGGCCCGGCCGGCGCUUGCCGACACAUCAAUCUUUUUUCCAGGUUGACCUCGGAUCAGGUAGGGAUACCCGCUGAACUUAAGCAUAUCAAUAAGCGGAGGA